UCUAAUGUAUUUAAAGAGUAUAGCCGUGCGGCUAUAUGAUUAAAAUAUUGGACUAUAUUCAAAGAGUAUAGUCGCGCGGCUAUACUCUUUAAAUAUUCAAAU
This 102-nucleotide microRNA precursor is filed under the name Prunus dulcis (almond). RNAcentral's name for it is "sRNA ncRNA". Lineage: Eukaryota; Viridiplantae; Streptophyta; Magnoliopsida; Rosales; Rosaceae. The record is from RNAcentral.